AGAGUUUGAUCCUGGCUCAGGACGAACGCUGGCGGCGUGCUUAACACAUGCAAGUCGAACGAUGAAGCCGGAGCUUGCUCCGGUGGAUUAGUGGCGAACGGGUGAGUAACACGUGAGUAACCUGCCCUUGACUCUGGGAUAAGCGUUGGAAACGACGUCUAAUACCGGAUACGAGCUUCAGCCGCAUGGCUAGGAGCUGGAAAGAAUUUCGGUCAAGGAUGGACUCGCGGCCUAUCAGGUAGUUGGUGAGGUAACGGCUCACCAAGCCGACGACGGGUAGCCGGCCUGAGAGGGUGACCGGCCACACUGGGACUGAGACACGGCCCAGACUCCUACGGGAGGCAGCAGUGGGGAAUAUUGCACAAUGGGCGCAAGCCUGAUGCAGCAACGCCGCGUGAGGGAUGACGGCCUUCGGGUUGUAAACCUCUUUUAGUAGGGAAGAAGCGAAAGUGACGGUACCUGCAGAAAAAGCACCGGCUAACUACGUGCCAGCAGCCGCGGUAAUACGUAGGGUGCAAGCGUUGUCCGGAAUUAUUGGGCGUAAAGAGCUCGUAGGCGGUUUGUCGCGUCUGCUGUGAAAACUGGAGGCUCAACCUCCAGCCUGCAGUGGGUACGGGCAAACUAGAGUGCGGUAGGGGAGAUUGGAAUUCCUGGUGUAGCGGUGGAAUGCGCAGAUAUCAGGAGGAACACCGAUGGCGAAGGCAGAUCUCUGGGCCGUAACUGACGCUGAGGAGCGAAAGCAUGGGGAGCGAACAGGAUUAGAUACCCUGGUAGUCCAUGCCGUAAACGUUGGGAACUAGAUGUGGGGUCCAUUCCACGGAUUCCGUGUCGCAGCUAACGCAUUAAGUUCCCCGCCUGGGGAGUACGGCCGCAAGGCUAAAACUCAAAGGAAUUGACGGGGGCCCGCACAAGCGGCGGAGCAUGCGGAUUAAUUCGAUGCAACGCGAAGAACCUUACCAAGGCUUGACAUAUACGAGAACGCUGCAGAAAUGUAGAACUCUUUGGACACUCGUAUACAGGUGGUGCAUGGUUGUCGUCAGCUCGUGUCGUGAGAUGUUGGGUUAAGUCCCGCAACG
Molecule: ribosomal RNA, 1076 nt
Filed under: marine metagenome
Description: bacterial SSU rRNA
Rfam family: Bacterial small subunit ribosomal RNA
Source: RNAcentral